RNAcentral lists this long non-coding RNA (233 nucleotides) under Gossypium barbadense (sea-island cotton). RNAcentral's name for it is "long non-coding RNA (GBAR_LNC011160)". The record is from RNAcentral. Lineage: Eukaryota; Viridiplantae; Streptophyta; Magnoliopsida; Malvales; Malvaceae.
GCUUGAACAAGUGCUCACUCAUCAUAUCGCCGCUCGGAUAGUUGGUGUUUUUCUACCCUCUUAUAGUGCUUCGAAAGAUAGGUUAAUGUGGAUGUGGUCCUCCGAUCCGCUUCUGCAACUUUUAAAUAGAUUACAGUGUUUAAAUGUCUUGAUGGUAGUGCGGAUUGGUCCUUGGUCUGGCAAAAUGAUGCGCCACAUAUCCCCUUGCAGCUCCUCUCUUAGUUGCACCUCCA